This 72-nucleotide transfer RNA is filed under the name Balaenoptera acutorostrata scammoni. RNAcentral describes it as "tRNA-Ala (TGC) (tRNA-Ala-TGC-9-1)". It matches the Rfam family "tRNA". Rfam says of the family: Transfer RNA (tRNA) molecules are approximately 80 nucleotides in length. Their secondary structure includes four short double-helical elements and three loops (D, anti-codon, and T loops). Lineage: Eukaryota; Metazoa; Chordata; Mammalia; Artiodactyla; Balaenopteridae. The record is from RNAcentral.
GGGGAUGUAGCUCAGUGGUAGAGUGCAUGCUUUGCAUGUAUGAGGUCCUGGGUUUGAUCCCCAGUGUCUCCA